Molecule: long non-coding RNA, 2578 nt
Organism: Xiphophorus hellerii (green swordtail)
Lineage: Eukaryota; Metazoa; Chordata; Actinopteri; Cyprinodontiformes; Poeciliidae
Exons: 5
Source: RefSeq, a predicted model, not a curated record
GAGUGCUGUGAAUAAUAGCGCGAAGACAAAUUGUAAUAUUUGAAAUGAUGAGAUAUUACACUUCACUUAUAUUCCAUGUGCAUCUGUGUAACAUGCCAUUACUCGAAAUCAAAGUUUGAAUCUGUCCCUGGCGCCACCAUAGCAACUGCAGGUAAGUUGCAAUGAAAUGUUCGCUGUGUGCUUUUUACAACAUUAGCCAGCGUGCAUGACUGUGUCUGACCGCUGGUUUUAAGGUUAGAAACUAGUCAACGCCAGCUUUUUCUAAUAUAUUGAAUGGGCGGCUGUUUAGGCAACACAUAGACUGUAAAGCGGAUAGUUCAGCUUUUGCCGAGUGGUUAAGGUAUAGCUAAUGGUCAGUAAGUAUCUGCAGGCCUCUGCUCCCACAUCACGCUGCACCGAGACACAGGCAGUAAAUACACUGCUGUCAAUGAGGAACAAUUCAUUUAAGUCCCGUCUUCAAAUACUACUAUACUAACAUGUCGCCAACAUAUGAAAUGACUGACGUGUUUUCUGUUGUUUGCCUGUUAGCUCCGUUAGCCUGUUAGCUCCCUUAACAUGGCUGCUAGAGUCGGUCUGUUUAAAAACAAAAUGAUCCGAUCUCCAGAUUACCUGCAUGCCUGCGUACGUGUGUCUCUGUUGUUAAAGUUUAGCGUUACUUCUCAGAGUUUUAUUUUUACAAUCGGGACUCUGAAGACUCAUGUAAAGAUGACGUGUCGCACGUCUUUUCCGGUCAGUCGUCAUGGAAACAGCGUGCUGAUGUGGACCAGAGUGGAAACAAACAUGUUGUAAAAUGAAAACAAAGUACCACUGUAUCCAAGCUUUAUGUGUGUAAACACCCACUGUUGCUGCACCUAAUUUUUUUAAAAGGAAUUGUGUGUUCAAGUAAAACAUUUUAGAAUUGAUUUUAUAUUAUAUUGGGUAUUGUUAAAACGUCAGUGCUUAAUAAAUGUUUUCAGAAUCUUGUAAUAUUGUUUAUGAAGCAUAUUACAUCUGUGAAUAUGAUCUAUGAAACUAAUUCUAUGAAGAAUGAAUAUUAAUCUAUGCAAUUGCAUUGCCUUUAUUUUAGUGAGGUAAGUACAGUUAUUUCUGCACAACAGACCCUGUCAGACAGACAGACCGCUCUGAUCAGAGGAGCACAGAGAAACUAUGCAAAAUAUUUACCUUAUGUUUAGUUUCUACCUUCAUUAAAGAGCCUCAGACUAAUUGUGAUGUUAGAUAAAUGACUUGUAACUUGUUGGUUGUUAAAGGGAGAGUGGAGGCUCAAUUCCACAUCAUGGUUUAAAACCAAACCUGCAUGAUCAGAACCUUGGACUCGGUGUCACAGCUCUCGUCUCUGCGGCAUCACAAUUCUGGGCCCCCCGGAGUCUUUGUAUGUGGACACUCAGUAUUUGCCCUCUCUUCAGUUCCUCUUGUCUGUUCCCCACAAGCAGGGACUCACUGAUAGACCACUCUGCUUCCAGUUCUGGGGCUGACACACUCUCCCACGUCCCCACACCCAGUGUAUCCUGUACAGAUCAAGGAAGAGUUCAGACGUAUCACGACAGUUUCCUUGGAGGAGACAUUCAUGCUAAAGCUUGAUGAGUACACACCAAGUCUUAUGCAGCUUAUGCGUGCUAAAGGAGGGGCUGCUGGUUCCAAGAUGCACCCUCUGUUGGACACUUUAAAUGACACACAGAGCAUUGAGGGAAAAAAGGGAUGCAGUUGUCUGCUGCCUCAUUAACUACCUUGGUGAAAGACAAGAAGAUCUUUUCCAUGACUGCCAGGAAUGUGAGGACUACACAGACAAAACAAUGAAGGUGAUCGUGAUGCACAACAUCAUGGCUGAGGAGGAUCCAUCAGAUGUGUCGAUUGUGAUUGAGGGAAACCAAGUGAUGGAAGGAUGUGGAAGCCGAACAAAGGCGUGUGUACUGCUGAUGGGACUGAUAUAUGCCCUCAACCUUGACUAUCCAAAGCAGCUCAAGAACACAUUUGAAGCUUUUCAAAAACUUUUUUUGGAACUUGAUGGGGCAAAACUACUGAAGAAGGUCCACCGCCUCAAAAACAAGCUCAUGCAAUAGACAUACAUUUCCCCUCUUGUUCCAAGAGGACCUGUUGUCUGGACAGAGAGUUUUAAUGGAGUAUAGUUUUAUAUUUUUGUUCUCUUCCCUCCUCUGCUCCACACACAGACACAGAAAUAUAUGUACAGAUGGAUACAUAAGUAUGUUGCAGCCUCUCUCAGUUUUUUGUUGUGUAUAAAUACACCUGCAGAUUUCAGAUUUGCUCAGUCACUGUUGUGUGAGGCCGAAUAAACACAAGUAAGAGUUUAGAUACAAGAAAAUCUUCAUGUGAUUGGACAUCCCUUGCACCUCUGCUCUGAUCACCUCACUUCUCCUUUUCUCUGAUCAACUCCUUUCUUAUUGAGCAGUCUGGAUGUUCUAAAGCAGGGAUAUGUUUUAUUGUCCAACAUUACUGAAACAACAGUUGAAGUUGUUAGGUUAUAACGCAGGUUCAUUAUUUGAAAUGUUGUGUGACACUGUUGUGCUGCAGUUUAUUCUGUGUUUUUGAUGACUUUAUGGAUUAAAAACAUUGAGAAGGUGUA